AAGUCGUAACAAGGUCUCCGUUGGUGAACCAGCGGAGGGAUCAUUACCGAGUUAUUAUACUCACCAAACCCACUGCAGACGUACCCAAUAUUAGCCCCUCCGGCAGGCGGCCCCAGGGCGGGGCCUCAGCUUAUGGCGCCUGCCGAAGGUGGCACAACUUUUGCUCUUUUAAGUACAAUCUGAGUUUAAAGACAAAAUAUCAAAAUUUUCAAUUGUGGAUCUCUUGGUUCUG
RNAcentral lists this unclassified non-coding RNA (232 nucleotides) under Atractospora reticulata. Its description in RNAcentral is "partial internal transcribed spacer region". The stretch from base 1 to 46 matches the Rfam family "Eukaryotic small subunit ribosomal RNA", at positions 1786 to 1831 of the family's 1831-position model. Lineage: Eukaryota; Fungi; Ascomycota; Sordariomycetes; Atractosporales; Atractosporaceae. The record is from RNAcentral.